AUAAAAAAAAAACCAUAGACGCCGACAAAGUGUGUUUUAAGGUUUAUUGUAUGGAUGUUAUUCAUCAACCUUAACAAACUACCGGUAUUUUCUGAAGUCACAGGUUCUGAGUUUACUGGAUUUUUCAGGUUUGGACUGCUUGCUGUCUCGUGUGUAAAAGAAGAUGACAACUAAUGGGGCCAACAUACAAGGCAACAGUACCAUAGUGAUUUAUGAUGAAUAUUCGUCAAAGAAUGGAAUGAACGUAUUCGUUAUACUGGUUACAGAGCUCAUAGUCGUCGUAUCCAUCUUCCUUAUACUUCUGAUACACUUUCUCAGGAAAAGAUAGCAGAACUACACGUGAACCGUUGAAAUCAGAGACAAAACAUGUAACAUCAGGGGACGCCACUCAAUGUUGGUGGAAUGCAAUUGACUUUAUAAAUAUUCUGUAGCAUUAUGAAUAAAUGAGCUAAAGAUAUUUAGACGUGUCUAUUGAUAUGAAAGGUACCCGAUGAUAUUUAUCAGUCAUAUCUACCUUGCUGGUCACCUGUUGUGAGAGGCCACAGUGAACAGAUGGUUUCAGUCUCACAAGACUACCUUGUACCGUUUAAUUCUUUGAAGAAACUGUUUAUGCCAGACCUUUGUGAAACAUGAAAUGACACAAUAAACACGAACGAAUGCA
Long non-coding RNA from Ostrea edulis (European flat oyster), 661 nucleotides. RefSeq lists it as uncharacterized. The transcript is spliced from 4 exons. NCBI's taxonomy places the organism in Eukaryota, Metazoa, Mollusca, Bivalvia, Ostreida, Ostreidae. The record is from RefSeq and is a predicted model, not a curated record.